Molecule: unclassified non-coding RNA, 616 nt
Filed under: Hevea brasiliensis (rubber tree)
Lineage: Eukaryota; Viridiplantae; Streptophyta; Magnoliopsida; Malpighiales; Euphorbiaceae
Source: RNAcentral
GUUUCAGUAGGUCUGGUUGUCUGCCAACACCCAUAAGAACAAAAGCUCAAAAGUUUAGAUUUGUUACAUCAGAAUGGAGUAAAUUUCUGAAAAAAGUUUUAAUAAAAACUAAAGAUUCAGUAACUUGUUACCCAUGGCAAUAUCUAAACGUUAAUCAUAUCAGCAGAGCAUUUGUUAAUAAUAGUUUAUUACUUCCAGAGCAUAGACAUUAACUGGGGAAACUCACCAUAUGAAAAGUGCACCUAAUAGUUCAGAUCACAUUAAAAAUAGCAUUCCAUUUUUAUGGAACAAACAAAUUCAGGUGUGAUUUCACUCUUGAACGUCUGAAAUCAAAGGCAAAACAACUUUUUGCCCAAAUGAGGUAGUUAAUAUUUUUUAUCAGUAGCAUCAAUUUUAAAAACAUAUCGAGGGGAAAAAUAGGCUUUCAUGAUAUGGGGCUUAUUUUCCUAUUCACUAACAUGGGUUCAGAAAAACAACUCAAAGCUUUAUGAAAUGAAGUUUCAAAAAUUUUGCUUGACAAUUGGGCUCUAGGUGAAGAAUUCAUAAUUUAAAACAGUGCAAUAUUAUUUAAUAUAUCAGACAUGUACAGAAGUCGCAUUAAAUGUCCUUAUCACCU